CAGUCGCCACGGGAAUACGAAGGGGGCUAGCGUUGCUCGGAAUGACUGGGCGUAAAGGGCGCGUAGGCGGCGAUCAAAGUCAGGCGUGAAAUUCCUGGGCUCAACCUGGGGGCUGCGUUUGAUACUUGAUUGCUAGAGUGGGGAAGAGGGUCGUGGAAUUCCCAGUGUAGAGGUGAAAUUCGUAGAUAUUGGGAAGAACACCGGUGGCGAAGGCGGCGACCUGGUCCUUGACUGACGCUGAGGCGCGAAAGCGUGGGGAGCAAACAGGAUUAGAUACCCCCGUAGUCCCUGUCUCUUAUAC
This 301-nucleotide ribosomal RNA is filed under the name uncultured bacterium. RNAcentral describes it as "partial 16S ribosomal RNA". It matches the Rfam family "Bacterial small subunit ribosomal RNA", at positions 509 to 807 of the family's 1533-position model. The record is from RNAcentral.